UACGUAGGGUGCAAGCGUUAAUCGGAAUUACUGGGCGUAAAGCGUGCGCAGGCGGUUUUGUAAGUUUGUCGUGAAAGCCCCGGGCUCAACCUGGGAAUUGCGCGCGAAACGGGGGGGGCUUGAGUUCGGGAGAGGAGCGGUGGAAUUCCCAGUGUAGAGGUGAAAUUCGUAGAUAUUGGGAAGAACACCGGUGGCGAAGGCGGCGACCUGGUCCGAUACUGACGCUGAGCGCGAAAGCGUGGGGAGCAAACAGG
RNAcentral lists this ribosomal RNA (254 nucleotides) under uncultured bacterium. RNAcentral describes it as "partial 16S ribosomal RNA". It matches the Rfam family "Bacterial small subunit ribosomal RNA", at positions 524 to 776 of the family's 1533-position model. The record is from RNAcentral.